RNAcentral lists this long non-coding RNA (302 nucleotides) under Elaeis guineensis (African oil palm). Its description in RNAcentral is "long non-coding RNA (EGUI_LNC003888)". Lineage: Eukaryota; Viridiplantae; Streptophyta; Magnoliopsida; Arecales; Arecaceae. The record is from RNAcentral.
CAUUACUACAAAACAUGUGGCCUCCUAUUCAUAGCAACCUGUAGUUCCUAUUAUAUUUGUUUGAAUUUGUAUUGAGUUGAAGAUCAAUUUUGAUAAAAGCUCAAUGAUUGAAAUAGGCUUAAGCCACAUAAUAGGAGAAUGGUAUGCCAAGCUAAUGGGGUGCAAAAAAUUAGACCUUUCAAUGAACUAUCUAGUUUUCUCCCUGUAAUAUCUAGCCUAUCAACUAAUUUAAAAUGGCCACACAAAUCUUAAAGCAAUGAAAAAAAUAAAAAAAAAAUAGAGAGAACUCUCGUUGGACUCCC